This 270-nucleotide ribosomal RNA is filed under the name Triticum aestivum (bread wheat). Its description in RNAcentral is "partial small subunit ribosomal RNA". The record is from RNAcentral. Lineage: Eukaryota; Viridiplantae; Streptophyta; Magnoliopsida; Poales; Poaceae.
AUGAAAAUUAGUGGAUGGAAAGAAAAACUGUUGUCUGCCGGUGGAAAGGGAAUUUUGCUAAAAUCUGUUGUUCAAGCUAUCCCAACUUAUGCCAUGUCCGUCUUUAAAAUUCCUAAAAAAAUUUGUAAAGGAAUCAUUGAGCGAUGUCGCAAUUUUGGUGGGGCAACGACGACAACCAUAAAAGGAUGCAUUGGAUGGCAUGGUGGAAGAUGUGUGUUCCCAAAGAUCAAGGAGGGAUGGGUUUUCGUGAUAUACACUGCUUUAAUCUAG